Molecule: long non-coding RNA, 2263 nt
Filed under: Struthio camelus australis
Lineage: Eukaryota; Metazoa; Chordata; Aves; Struthioniformes; Struthionidae
Description: lncRNA (ENSSCUG00000001603.1)
Source: RNAcentral
CGCUGGGGUGCCUCCCUGCAUGUCCAGCCAGAUCUGGAUGACCGAUGCAGGGAGAAGGAAGAGGAGAUGAAGGGGAGGAGAAGAUAAAGCCCCGACAUCAGCUAGUGGCUGGGAAAGCGCCCGAAGCACUUUUCCUUGUCUUGUAGUACUUCAGAAGGCCGGAGGAGAACCGGACGAGUGAGCUUGCAAUUCAGUCCUAUUUUUCACAGCCGGAAAUCUAAGAGGGAGCGAUGGCUGGCAGGGUCUGUCGCGGACCGCGCGUCGCCUUGCACGCGUGUGUCACGGGCCUGGGAGCACGCGAGACGCAGGUAACCCUUCGCCUCGCCUGGCCCUUCUGCCCUGAUCCCAAAGCAUUCGACAAAGAAAAUCACAGUCAUUAACUGUAAUUUUACAGAUGGAAGAAGCUGAGGCUCGGAGAGCAACUGACUUUGAUGAAGGUCACUGUCCACGUGGGAAAUGGACCCCGUGUCCCCCAGCUCAGGGCUCGCUGCUAUUUCCAGCUCUGCCUUCAGCCUCCUUCCUGGCUCUGAGCGCGGUGCGUGGGCUGAGUCCUGCUCCCGGGGAGGCUCGUCGCGGUCUGCGGGGGUCGGCUGGCCUCCUGCCGCCUCGGUGUGAUCCCCUCCGAGAAGCUGUGAGCCCUCUCCUUCGCUCAGCGCAGCCGCAGGGAGCCAGGCUGGCGUUUCUGUCCCGGCUGCGCAGGCUCCGGCACCGAGAGCCUGGCCGGAAAGCGCCGCUCCUGCUGGGACAAGUCCUCACUGAACAGCACAAGAAAAGGCGGGGGCCCCCUCCAACNNNNNNNNNNCGGGGCGGGCAGCCAGGGCUGGGAGGAGAUGCACAGCAGUUUAAUCAUGGACCAAAAAGGAGAAGCGGUGCCCUUGCAAGCGCGAUGUGACAUAAAUUCCUCCGCCACCGCAGGGCCCUGGGGAGUGAGGUGUCCAUCACUGCAGCCCUGCGUCUCCCCCACAACCCUGUUCCUGCUGCCGCCUCGCCACGGUCCUUCCAGAGAGGCCCGGAAAUGCGAUGGAGCAACACUUCUAGGGGGAAAAGGGCUGAGAAGAGGUGUGCAAAUGGGGGCUGGAAACGUUGCUCACCACUGGCAGUGGUAAAGGGGGUGUCUAUGGUUUCUAACCCAAAUCCAGGCUGUGCCGCUACAGGCUUGUACGGACACAGCAAGACCGUCGUGCCCCCAGCGUAGGGAAGCUGAGGCGCAGCGGGUGCAUGCCUCCCCCUCAUCUGGAGGAGAGGGGCUCAGCCCCCGUGUGAAGCCAUGAAUUCAGGCCUGGCUCCCAGCCUCGCGCACGGCCCCGUGCCCUGUCGCUGCUCUCCUAUCCCACAGCCACCACCUCGACUGCUGGAAGCCGGGUCUCCCCCACCUCAAAGCCGGCAGCUCCCCUCCCAGCCCGAGGCUGCGAUCAGCGCGGCUCAACACCAGCCUCUCAGGGGACGUUUCAGGCCGGGGUUGGUGAAGGAGAUAAAAGGAAAAGAAGGCAGAGGCUAUGCUAUGCGGUGUGCAUCGCCUGGCCCCGAAGGGAGUUCUCCUGUUCUCCACAAAUGUCGAGGAAGAAAAUGCAGUGAAUCUCUCCCUCCUGUUCACUGCAGCUCCUUAAAGAAAAAUGAAAUGCUUUGAGCAAUGCAAAAGGGGAAGGAGGCAGCAGAAGGAGACCGACACUUGAGUCUCCUCCAAAUGUCAUUUCCUGGUGUAUAAAUGUCCUCAUAAACAGCAGGCUGAGGAAUUACUGGCUGCGCAGAGGUCUGAGCCCAGCCUUCCCAGGCCAUGCAUUAGGCAGCAAGGCAGGGCAAUAACUUGACCUUUUUGAAAUGUCCGGUGCACUGUUUUAUUGACUCUGCGCCCUCGUUGCUGAGAGGCACUUGUCAUCAGGCCCACCACAACGGCCCACCAUGAUCCUGCAUCCUGCUCCCGUGUGGCAGCACAUCUCCCAGCAAGCAGUGGGGAGAGCAUCUCCCAGACCUUUCCCUGCUCUCCAGGGUUUGUCACGCUCUCCAGCUGGUGCUGCCUCGCCUCUGGGGCCGGAGGUGCACGUGUGGGGAGCGUCUCCUCUCCGCAGGCACAUGGGGGAGGAUGAGCCAUUGCUGCCUGGAGCAAGGCACGAUCAGCUGCUCCUUCGAGCCAGGCUGGGGAAUGAUGGAUUGAAUGAAUAUCCAGUUCAUUAAAUGUUGUUUGUUCUAUUGUGUUUGCUGCAUGUCCCAGACUGAUGCCUAAUGAAUGCCGCUGAGCCCUCUAGAUUAAUAAAGAGGUGUUGAG